This 671-nucleotide long non-coding RNA is filed under the name Homo sapiens (human). Its description in RNAcentral is "non-protein coding lnc-CWH43-7:1". The record is from RNAcentral. Lineage: Eukaryota; Metazoa; Chordata; Mammalia; Primates; Hominidae.
AAGUGCAGAAAGGGCCCAAUCUGGUAGAUGAACCACACAACCAGCAUCUGGGUGCAGGCACAGUGCCACAUUUUUUGUCACUUCCUGAUGUACCCCCCCAGCACUGAAGAGACAGCCUGGAGACAGGACAAGAGGAAGGCUGAGAAGGAUGAGAUGGUGAGUGCCAGAUUCUUCCUGGCCCUGAGCCCUCCCUCAGAGUGACACUCAACCUUUAGGAGUGGGAGAGCAAGAUUGACGGCUUCAAGUGCUUCACCAAGAAGAUGGACAACAGGGCUCUCAGGUCAACUUCACAGCCAAUGAGUGGUGACAGGCUUUAAGAAAGAGCAUCUUCCACAUUGUCAGUGAGCUCUUUGCCAAUCAGUCCAGGCAGGACCCCGACCCAGCCAUGGGCCUGUUAGUGCUGUCUCAGGUACACAAGACCAACAUCUUGGACAUCAUCCAGAUACACAAGGAAGCUCUUACCAAAGUCACGGAGAGCAGGCAACAUGUGGCAGAAGGGAAUACAGAGGUGCAGAGGCUGAUGAUGUCAGAAUCACAGGAACAGGAUUUCUUUGGCUACUUUGGCUGAAAUUCACCACUUCCAUCCAAUUCCAGUGAGAGACAUGGACUCACAGGUGCAGCAUUUCUUGCAACAAGAGAUACUACUUUUUCAAAAAGUCACUGAGGAAUUG